This 219-nucleotide ribosomal RNA is filed under the name Triticum aestivum (bread wheat). Its description in RNAcentral is "partial small subunit ribosomal RNA". The record is from RNAcentral. Lineage: Eukaryota; Viridiplantae; Streptophyta; Magnoliopsida; Poales; Poaceae.
AUGGAGGAGCUGGACAUGGAUGGCGAGAAGGCGGCCAAACCCGAGUUUGCCUACCCCUACUGCUAUGAGGACCAUGAGGUCGCCUCCUUGUGCGCGCAUGUAGAAGAGGAGCACCCAUUGGAGUGGAGAUAUAGUUUGCACAAUGUUCUAGUCCAGCAAAAUUUUGCAACUAUGGCCCAUAGGGCCAUGCUAAUUAGUGCUAGCCAUGAUCAGGAGUAA